GAUGAACGCUGGCGGCGUGCCUAAUACAUGCAAGUCGAGCGAACGGACUUGAAUCUUGCUUCUCUGAUGUUAGCGUCCGUCGGGUUAGUAACACGUUCAUAACCUACCUAUAUGACUCGGUUAAUUUCGUGAAUCCGGAGCUUCUACCGGAUAAUUUUUUGAACCGCAUUUUUCAAAAGUCUAAUACGUUCUUUCUUUUACUUAUAGAUGGUUCCGCGUUUGAUUAGCUAGUUGGUAAGGUAACUGCUUACCAAGGCAACGAUGCAUAGCCGACCUGAGAGGAUGAUAGGACACACUGGAACUGAGACAGGGUCCAGAGUACUACGGGAGGCAGCAGUAGGGAAUGUUGCGCAAUGGGCGAAAGCGUGACGGAGCAACACAGCGUGAGUGAUGAAGGACUACGGAUCGUAAAAAUCUGUUAUGAGGGAAGAACAUAAGUGUAAGUAACUGUGCACAUCUUGACGGUACAUAAUCAGAAAGCCACGGCUAACUACGUG
This 497-nucleotide ribosomal RNA is filed under the name uncultured bacterium. Its description in RNAcentral is "partial 16S ribosomal RNA". It matches the Rfam family "Bacterial small subunit ribosomal RNA", at positions 28 to 507 of the family's 1533-position model. The record is from RNAcentral.